GGCUGGUCCAAGUGCAGUGGUGUUGACAACUAAUUGAUCACAGCCAGUUACAGAUUCCUUUGUUCCUUCUCCACUCCUCACUGCUUCACUUGACUAGCUUUAA
This 103-nucleotide Y RNA is filed under the name Microcebus murinus (gray mouse lemur). Its description in RNAcentral is "Y RNA (ENSMICG00000044461.1)". It matches the Rfam family "Y RNA". Rfam says of the family: Y RNAs are components of the Ro ribonucleoprotein particle (Ro RNP), in association with Ro60 and La proteins. The Y RNAs and Ro60 and La proteins are well conserved, but the function of the Ro RNP is not known. Lineage: Eukaryota; Metazoa; Chordata; Mammalia; Primates; Cheirogaleidae. The record is from Rfam by way of RNAcentral.